RNA transcript from Aethalodelphis obliquidens (Pacific white-sided dolphin), 3222 nucleotides. It is a transcript of the gene named potassium voltage-gated channel subfamily C member 1 pseudogene, with no coding region annotated. The transcript has 2 exons. The record is from RefSeq and is a predicted model, not a curated record. Lineage: Eukaryota; Metazoa; Chordata; Mammalia; Artiodactyla; Delphinidae.
AUGGAAAGAGCGCUGGAGCUGGAUAAACCUGGAUCAGAGCUGGUGACCUCUUCCAGUUGCUUCCACUUUGCUUUCCUGGUCUACCUCUGUGGUGUCCCAGCCCAGAGGCACCCGGGGUCUCUUUGCUCUGGGGGGAGGGCCUCCCCUCUGACACUGUGUGUUUCUCCUCCACAGUAUGUGGCCUUUGCCUCCCUCUUCUUCAUCCUCGUCUCCAUCACCACCUUCUGCCUGGAGACCCACGAGCGCUUCAACCCCAUCGUGAACAAGACAGAGAUCGAGAACGUUCGGAAUGGCACGCAAGUGCGCUACUACCGGGAAGCGGAGACAGAGGCCUUCCUCACCUACAUCGAGGGCGUCUGCGUGGUCUGGUUCACCUUCGAGUUCCUCAUGCGUGUGGUCUUCUGCCCCAACAAGGUGGAGUUCAUCAAGAACUCGCUCAACAUCAUUGACUUUGUGGCCAUCCUGCCCUUCUACCUGGAGGUGGGCCUGAGCGGCCUGUCCUCUAAGGCGGCGAAGGAUGUGCUGGGCUUCCUGCGUGUCGUCCGCUUCGUGCGUAUCCUGCGCAUCUUCAAGCUGACCCGCCACUUCGUGGGCCUGCGUGUCCUGGGCCACACUCUCCGCGCCAGUACCAAUGAGUUCUUACUGCUCAUCAUCUUCCUGGCUCUGGGCGUCCUGAUUUUCGCCACCAUGAUCUACUAUGCCGAGAGGAUAGGGGCGCAGCCCAAUGACCCCAGUGCCAGUGAGCACACCCACUUUAAGAACAUCCCCAUUGGCUUCUGGUGGGCCGUGGUCACCAUGACGACGCUGGGCUACGGAGACAUGUACCCGCAGACGUGGUCCGGCAUGUUGGUGGGAGCGCUGUGUGCGCUGGCGGGCGUGCUGACCAUCGCCAUGCCCGUGCCCGUCAUUGUGAACAAUUUCGGGAUGUAUUACUCCUUAGCCAUGGCUAAGCAGAAACUACCAAAGAAAAAAAAGAAGCAUAUUCCGCGGCCACCGCAGCUGGGAUCUCCCAAUUAUUGUAAAUCUGUCGUAAACUCUCCACACCACAGUACUCAGAGUGACACAUGCCCGCUGGCCCAGGAAGAAAUUUUAGAAAUUAACAGAGCAGGUAGGAAACCUCUUAGAGGCAUGUCGAUCUGACCUUUCACCUCCGCCCCCUGUAGCGAUGAUUCCAGAUUCAGUCAGACUGCUUCCUUAGUUCCAUGGGUGACCCUGGACCCUGCGCUCAAUCUCGAGGUGUGGAGUCUGGGGGCCCAGGGAGAUGCUGGGCAGCCGAAUUCACGAGGCAAGAGCCUGCUAGAACCUCACUGGUGGCCCCCGGUAAGGAGGUUAACAUGCUGGUCUCGUGGGGUUCUGAAGAGAUGACAUGGCCCGCGAGGUUGCUGAGGACUCUCUUGGCAGGAGCCCCGGGGGCUCUGCUGCUUGGUGGGCAGGAGUGGAGCAUGAGUCGCUGACUCAGGCCACUGACCCAGUGUCGGGGCAGGGCGGGGGCGGGUGUGAUUCGGAAAUGCCAGACAGCUGCUGAUUUGGUCUUCACACGGCUCCCUUCAGGCCGUGCGUGUGUGGCACAGAUGGUGCAUGGGAUCUGGCAGGAGGGUCCCUGCAAAGGCAGCAGCAAGGAUUCUCCCCCCCACCAGAGCCUGUCUCCAUAGCUGAGUAGCAUUCCUGCUCUGAUGCCGGCUGCCUAGCUCCAGGCGCGUCCUGGGAGAUGCCUCUUGCCCUCCGUACGUAACAAGCUUACUUACCCCACAGCAUGCGGAACCAACUCAUCUUCCACCACCACUCUAGAGUUUAGCGUUUAUCUUUAGGAACCUGUUGGAGUGACUCUAGCUUUCACGUUGUCUGUUUGGGUUGAUGGUCAAGUGGGAGUUUCCGGUGGCCUUCUGAUGGGAGCGGCUGGUGAGCGAAGGACUAGAGGGGGCCACCACCCGGCAGCUUAGAUGAAAGCGCUACAGACCAGCAAACAACCUCCCACCCAGAGUUCUCCCCGUUUCCGGCGGUAGGGACUGCAGCAGCAAUACACGACAUCCCAACCAGUGUACGACCACUUUCCCAUGAAUUCAGUGGGGGUCAGGGAGGGGGGGGGGGGGGCCAUGAAACAAUACUAGUCACCGUGGGAUAUAUUCUAAUAUUCCAUGGCUAGUGGUUCGUUAUGGGACUAUCUCAGUUUUAUGAGAACCUGCACAUAGCACAUAAAGUUGAUCAUGGGGCUCUGGUCCGAAGAUAUAAAGCCCAUAGUCUACCUCUACCCAUGGAAUACCAUCGACUUAUUCUGUGGACACAGGGAUUUGAAGGCAAUGAACGACCCAGAGAAGAAUGACAACACCGAGCUAAGAAGGAGUGCCGGGGCGAGGAAGGCUGAGUCAGUGAUAGGUGGCGUUUAGUCUACAGAAGACACCCCUGUGCCCAGGGCAGGCAGGGGGGCUGUAGGCUAGCUCAGCCCUAGAGGAGCAAGUGCCGCCUGGCCCGGGUGGCCUCCCCCAGUGGGUGAUGGACUCUCCCCCGAUGGCCCCCACCCCCAUCCUACUCCUGAUCUGGCUUCAUCCCACAGCUACGCUGCCCAGAGCAGUACCCCCAAGGCCCACUUCUCUGUCCGUGGGAACUUUCCAGCCCCUUCGCCUGGCCCCGUACCCCUCCCCACUCCCUGGGAUUGCUGUAGGCACCUGAGAGGAACGUGGCUAGUGUUCUGGGCUGGGCCAGGGACUGGGCAGGGGUCUCAGAGGCUGGAACAGGGGGACCUGGCAGCGGGGGCGGGCUGGACUCCCCAGCCAAGGUGUGGCUCCUGCUUAGCAAGGCAGGCACGGGCCGAGGAAAGCCCCUGUCCCCCCUCCUGCUCUGGGUUAGCUGUAGCCCUUCUGUUCGACCUCAGGAGCCGCCAUCAUGGCAAGGAAAAUUCCUGGGACCCUAGGGGAGGGUCUGGGUGGGCCUAGCGCCCCAGCUUCACUCCAGGCCCCAGCAGGAAGAGCUCAGCCUGAGUGGCAUCACCAUGGCGCUCCUUGGCCCUCUUUCACACCCUCCCAACGCUGAAUCUUUCGGGAUCGGUGCCUCAAAUAUGGGUGCCCCAGGCCCACCUGUCAAGGAUCCCUCAUUCACUCGUCAGGCGCAAAUUCUUCAGUACUCCCAGACAGUGCCAGUGUUCUCCAUGUGCUGAGGGCGUGCAUGCAUGCACACACAUACAUACAUACAUGCACACACACACCUACACACGCAUGCACGUGCACA